RNAcentral lists this transfer RNA (72 nucleotides) under Camelus bactrianus (Bactrian camel). It matches the Rfam family "tRNA". From Rfam's summary of the family: Transfer RNA (tRNA) molecules are approximately 80 nucleotides in length. Their secondary structure includes four short double-helical elements and three loops (D, anti-codon, and T loops). Further hydrogen bonds mediate the characteristic L-shaped molecular structure. tRNAs have two regions of fundamental functional importance: the anti-codon, which is responsible for specific mRNA codon recognition, and the 3' end, to which the tRNAs corresponding amino acid is attached (by aminoacyl-tRNA synthetases). tRNAs cope with the degeneracy of the genetic code in two manners: having more than one tRNA (with a specific anti-codon) for a particular amino acid; and 'wobble' base-pairing, i.e. permitting non-standard base-pairing at the 3rd anti-codon position. The record is from Rfam by way of RNAcentral. RNAcentral also lists the same sequence under 1 other name. Lineage: Eukaryota; Metazoa; Chordata; Mammalia; Artiodactyla; Camelidae.
GAGAGUAUAGCUCAGCAGCAAAGUGCAUGCCCAGCAUGCACGAGGUCCUGGGUUCAAUCCCCAGUACCUCCA